GGAUUAGAUACCCUGGUAGUCCUAGCCGUAAACGAUGGGCACUAGCUAGAGGUCUUCCUAUGGAUCUCUGGUGAAGCAAAUGUGUUAAGUGCCCCGCCUGGGGAGUAUGGUCGCAAGGCUAAAACUCAAAGGAAUUGACGGGGGCUCACACAAGCGGUGGAGCAUGUGGUUUAAUUCGAAGCAACGCGAAGAACCUUACCCAGGCUUGACAUGUAGGGAUUAACUCUGUGAAAGCAGAGGGAUUGCCUUCGGGUGUAACCUACACAGGUGUUGCAUGGCUGUCGUCAGCUCGUGCCG
This 297-nucleotide ribosomal RNA is filed under the name uncultured bacterium. RNAcentral's name for it is "partial 16S ribosomal RNA". It matches the Rfam family "Bacterial small subunit ribosomal RNA", at positions 775 to 1067 of the family's 1533-position model. The record is from RNAcentral.